RNAcentral lists this ribosomal RNA (381 nucleotides) under uncultured Cortinarius. Its description in RNAcentral is "eukaryotic LSU rRNA". It matches the Rfam family "Eukaryotic large subunit ribosomal RNA", at positions 1 to 377 of the family's 3401-position model. Lineage: Eukaryota; Fungi; Basidiomycota; Agaricomycetes; Agaricales; Cortinariaceae. The record is from RNAcentral.
GUGACCUCAAAUCAGGUAGGACUACCCGCUGAACUUAAGCAUAUCAAUAAGCGGAGGAAAAGAAACUAACAAGGAUUCCCCUAGUAACUGCGAGUGAAGCGGGAAAAGCUCAAAUUUAAAAUCUGGCGGUCUUUUGGCUGUCCGAGAUGUAAUCUAGAGAAGUGUUAUCCGCACUGGACCGUGUACCAGUCUCCUGGGAUGGAGCAUCAUAGAGAGGAGAAUCCCGUCAUUGACAUGGACUGUCAGGGCUCUUAGUGAUGCGCUCUCAAAGAGUCGAGUUGUUUGGACUGCAGCUCAAAUGGGUGGAGAUUCCAUCUAAAGCUAAUAUCGCCGAGAUUACGAUAGGCGACCAGUACUGUGAGGUACAGAUUAAAAGACUAG